Molecule: ribosomal RNA, 200 nt
Filed under: uncultured bacterium
Lineage: Bacteria
Description: partial 16S ribosomal RNA
Rfam family: Bacterial small subunit ribosomal RNA
Source: RNAcentral
UACGAAGGGUGCUAGCGUUGUUCGGAAUCAUUGGGCGUAAAGCGUGCGUAGGCGGCUUGAUAAGUCAGCUGUGAAAGCCCAGGGCUCAACCUUGGAAUUGCAGUUGAAACUAUCAGACUAGAGUAUGGCGGGGGAUAGUGGAAUUCUUAGUGUAGGGGUGAAAUCCGUAGAUAUUAAGAGGAACAUCAGUGGCGAAAGCG